RNAcentral lists this transfer-messenger RNA (121 nucleotides) under Holosporaceae bacterium. RNAcentral describes it as "partial transfer-messenger RNA". It matches the Rfam family "Alphaproteobacteria transfer-messenger RNA", at positions 1 to 118 of the family's 355-position model. Rfam says of the family: Bacterial tmRNA, also known as 10Sa RNA or SsrA, is named for its dual tRNA and mRNA-like properties. The record is from RNAcentral. Lineage: Bacteria; Pseudomonadati; Pseudomonadota; Alphaproteobacteria; Holosporales; Holosporaceae.
AAAUUUGCAUUUUAAUGGAUACAGUGAUACAAUAUUUUCGCUGUUCUAUGGAUAGCUAUGAUGAUAAACAUCGUGACCAAUAGAUGAUGUGGACCCGGGGGCAGAGCCCGGCACCUCCACC